UACGUAGGGUGCAAGCGUUAAUCGGAAUUACUGGGCGUAAAGCGUGCGCAGGCGGUUUUGUAAGUCUGACGUGAAAUCCCCGGGCUCAACCUGGGAAUUGCGUUGGAGACUGCAAGGCUAGAAUCUGGCAGAGGGGGGUAGAAUUCCACGUGUAGCAGUGAAAUGCGUAGAGAUGUGGAGGAACACCGAUGGCGAAGGCAGCCCCCUGGGUCAAGAUUGACGCUCAUGCACGAAAGCGUGGGGGGCAAACAGG
This 253-nucleotide ribosomal RNA is filed under the name uncultured bacterium. Its description in RNAcentral is "partial 16S ribosomal RNA". It matches the Rfam family "Bacterial small subunit ribosomal RNA", at positions 524 to 776 of the family's 1533-position model. The record is from RNAcentral.